RNAcentral lists this ribosomal RNA (324 nucleotides) under uncultured Anaerolineaceae bacterium. Its description in RNAcentral is "bacterial SSU rRNA". It matches the Rfam family "Bacterial small subunit ribosomal RNA", at positions 1043 to 1382 of the family's 1533-position model. The record is from RNAcentral. Lineage: Bacteria; Bacillati; Chloroflexota; Anaerolineae; Anaerolineales; Anaerolineaceae.
GCAUGGCUGUCGUCAGCUCGUGUCGUGAGAUGUUCGGUUAAGUCCGCUAACGAGCGCAACCUCGUCGUAUGUUAUAUGUGUCAUACGAGACUGCCGGUAAAAGCCGGAGGAAGGUGAGGAUGAUGUCAAGUCAGCAUGACCUUUAUAUCCAGGGCUACACACACGCUACAAUGGUCUGUACAAUGGGUAGCCAAGCCGCGAGGCGGAGCCAAUCCUGAAAAGCAGGCCUCAGUUCAGAUUGCAGUCUGCAACUCGACUGCAUGAAGCCGGAGUUGCUAGUAACCGCAGGUCAGCAAUACUGCGGUGAAUACGUUCCCGGGUCUU